This is a long non-coding RNA of Gasterosteus aculeatus aculeatus (three-spined stickleback), 330 nucleotides long. The record is from Ensembl. Lineage: Eukaryota; Metazoa; Chordata; Actinopteri; Perciformes; Gasterosteidae.
GUGGGGGAGGUGACAGGUGAGGGAGGUGACAGGUGGGGGAGGUGACAGGUGGAGGAGGAGGAGGGGGAGGUGCAGCUCUGUCUCCAUGCCCCCCCCCCUCCUUUCUGAGGAAAUAUACAUAAAGGGUCUGAUGUUUCUCAUCAGAUGAGAUGAUUUAUUAUUCAUGAGUUUGUUGUUUGAUUUACAGAAGGAAUUCACAACUUUUAAAAACGCCGAAUUACAGUUUCUCUUUCCAAUGGAAGGUUCCACCUCCUGCUGCAGUUAUUAACUAACAGGACGGUAAAGACAGAACCGAUAAAUAUAUUACGCUUUUAGUGAAUAUGAAAUGUG